CCAACAGCUUUAUUUAAAGCCACAGAGAGAACAAAGAAGGUACAUU
Non-coding RNA from Ficedula albicollis (Collared flycatcher), 46 nucleotides. The record is from Rfam. NCBI's taxonomy places the organism in Eukaryota, Metazoa, Chordata, Aves, Passeriformes, Muscicapidae.